GGUUGGUGGUUUAGGAUGGGGUUUCACGGUGGGAGGUUUUGGAGUAGGUGGUUUUACUGCCGGUGGUUUAGGUGGUUUGACGGCAGGAGGUUUAGGCGGUUUGACUGGAUGUUUUGGUGGUUUGUGAGGUGCUGGUGAUGGUUUAGGAGGGGUACAGUCGCAAGCAUAGGAGACGGCAACGAAGCCAAGGAGGAGGAGGACGAGAAAGGAGAGGUUUUGAGAGCGAGACCCCAUUUUUUGGAAUGAGGGUUUGGGUUUCUG
This 261-nucleotide long non-coding RNA is filed under the name Arabidopsis thaliana (thale cress). RNAcentral describes it as "potential natural antisense gene, locus overlaps with AT3G22120 (AT3G22121)". The record is from RNAcentral. Lineage: Eukaryota; Viridiplantae; Streptophyta; Magnoliopsida; Brassicales; Brassicaceae.